AUGCUCAUAAGGAAGUUCUGGUUGGGGAGUAAAGAAGGAAAACGGAAGCCGCAUUGGGUAUCUUGGACCACCAUGACUCAACCAAAGGGCAUGGGCGGCCUAGGAUUCAAGGAUUUUGAAAUUUUCAACCCGGCAAUGUUUGCCAUGCAAGCUUGGAGGUUACUACAACAUCCAGAGUCUCUUAGUGCGCGGCUGUUGAAGAGCAUCUAAUAUCCCAAUGACACUAUUUUGCAUGCACCUCUAGGGGGGCACCCUAGCCACGUGUGGAGGGCUAUCGUUCAAGGGAGGGACAUCUUGGAGCAAGGUCUGAUCCCGCGUAUUGGUAAUGGUCAGGAGACGAGUAUUUGGGGGACAAUUGGAUUCCGAGAGAUGAGAUGCUCCGACCUUAUGGGUGUAUCACUCAAAACCCGCCAGAGCUCGUUUCUGAGCUCAUUGAUCCAACAUCCGCGUCCUGGGAUAUGCAGCGAGUCUACAGUGUGUUCAUGCCGAUGGACGCCAAGGUAA
This 504-nucleotide ribosomal RNA is filed under the name Triticum aestivum (bread wheat). Its description in RNAcentral is "partial small subunit ribosomal RNA". The record is from RNAcentral. Lineage: Eukaryota; Viridiplantae; Streptophyta; Magnoliopsida; Poales; Poaceae.